This 481-nucleotide ribosomal RNA is filed under the name uncultured bacterium. RNAcentral's name for it is "bacterial SSU rRNA". It matches the Rfam family "Bacterial small subunit ribosomal RNA", at positions 29 to 525 of the family's 1533-position model. The record is from RNAcentral.
AGUGAACGCUGGCGGCGUGCCUAAUACAUGCAAGUCGAACGAUGAAGUCCUAGCUUGCUAGGAUGGAUUAGUGGCGCACGGGUGAGUAAUAUAUAGUUAAUCUGCCCUACACAGAGGAACAACAGUUGGAAACGGCUGCUAAUACCUCAUACUCCUAUUUGACAUAAGUUAAAUAGGGAAAGUCUUUUCGGUGUAGGAUGAGACUAUAUCGUAUCAGCUAGUUGGUAAGGUAAUGGCUUACCAAGGCUAUGACGCGUAACUGGUCUGAGAGGAUGAUCAGUCACAUUGGAACUGAGACACGGUCCAAACUCCUACGGGAGGCAGCAGUAAGGAAUAUUGCGCAAUGGGGGAAACCCUGACGCAGCAACGCCGCGUGGAGGAUGACACUUUUCGGAGCGUAAACUCCUUUUAUCAGGAAAGAAUAAUGACGGUACCUGAUGAAUAAGCACCGGCUAACUCCGUGCCAGCAGCCGCGGUAAUU